GACGAACGCUGGCGGCGUGCUUAACACAUGCAAGUCGAACGGAAAGGCCCUGCUUUUGUGGGGUGCUCGAGUGGCGAACGGGUGAGUAACACGUGAGUAACCUGCCCUUGACUUUGGGAUAACUUCAGGAAACUGGGGCUAAUACCGGCUAGGAGCUCCUGCUGCAUGGUGGGGGUUGGAAAGUUUCGGCGGUUGGGGAUGGACUCGCGGCUUAUCAGCUUGUUGGUGGGGUAGUGGCGUACCAAGGCUUUGACGGGUAGCCGGCCUGAGAGGGGGACCGGCCACAUUGGGACUGAGAGACGGCCCAGACUCCUACGGGAGGCAGCAGGGGGGAAUCUUGCACAAUGGGCGGAAGCCUGAUGCAGCAACGCCGCGUGCGGGAUGACGGCCUUCGGGUUGUAAACCGCUUUCGCCUGUGACGAAGCGUGAGUGACGGUAAUGGGUAAAGAAGCACCGGCUAACUACGUG
This 468-nucleotide ribosomal RNA is filed under the name uncultured bacterium. RNAcentral describes it as "partial 16S ribosomal RNA". It matches the Rfam family "Bacterial small subunit ribosomal RNA", at positions 28 to 507 of the family's 1533-position model. The record is from RNAcentral.